UCCCUUGUGGUUCAGUCGGUAAAGCGUCUGCCUACAAUGCAGGAGACCCGGGUUCGAUCCCUGGGUUGGGAA
RNAcentral lists this transfer RNA (72 nucleotides) under Capra hircus (goat). It matches the Rfam family "tRNA". Rfam says of the family: Transfer RNA (tRNA) molecules are approximately 80 nucleotides in length. Their secondary structure includes four short double-helical elements and three loops (D, anti-codon, and T loops). Lineage: Eukaryota; Metazoa; Chordata; Mammalia; Artiodactyla; Bovidae. The record is from Rfam by way of RNAcentral. RNAcentral also lists the same sequence under 1 other name.